This 231-nucleotide ribosomal RNA is filed under the name uncultured bacterium. Its description in RNAcentral is "partial 16S ribosomal RNA". It matches the Rfam family "Bacterial small subunit ribosomal RNA", at positions 118 to 348 of the family's 1533-position model. The record is from RNAcentral.
UGAGGAACAUGACCUUCGGCGGGGGAUAGCCGGCCCAACGGCCGGGUAAUACCGCGUACGACCACAUGGGGACAUCCCCGAGUGGUGAAAGCAGCAAUGCGCCGAUGGAGUGCCUCGCGGCCUAUCAGCUAGUUGGUGAGGUAACGGCUCACCAAGGCGACGACGGGUAGCUGGUCUGAGAGGAUGGCCAGCCACAUUGGGACUGAGACACGGCCCAGACUCCGUAGGAGG